This is a long non-coding RNA of Dendronephthya gigantea, 421 nucleotides long. RefSeq lists it as uncharacterized. NCBI's taxonomy places the organism in Eukaryota, Metazoa, Cnidaria, Anthozoa, Malacalcyonacea, Nephtheidae. The record is from RefSeq and is a predicted model, not a curated record. The transcript is spliced from 3 exons.
CCUUGACGUAUCGUUUUGAUCAAACUUUCUACUCCAUAUUGCUUUUUCGGGUCUUGUUCGACGAGGAAGAUGUAAAUAUACCUACAUAUACACGAAGGGAACAAACGGUAAAGAUAGCUGAUGUUAAAUAGGAGAUGCUAUGGAACACUUCGAAGAAACGGAAUCAAUUAAAAAUUCACCUGAAACAGGCGACAUUGAAAAACGUGAGGAGGAAACGAACCGUGAUUUCGAGAAUGAAAAAGCCAUACACGGCGUCCCUGGUGAUCUCACGAAACAUUUACUGAAACAAUCUGAUCAAGCUUCAGAAACAUUGACAACACCUAACAUUGCAGCUCAAAUAGAAAACACACCAGAUAAGAACGCACAAACACCUACUCCGAGGUAUAAUUUAAAACAUGCGCGAACAAUCGAUAACCAAACA